RNAcentral lists this ribosomal RNA (458 nucleotides) under Baeolidia sp. A LC-2013. RNAcentral's name for it is "partial 16S ribosomal RNA". It matches the Rfam family "Archaeal large subunit ribosomal RNA", at positions 1891 to 2668 of the family's 2987-position model. Lineage: Eukaryota; Metazoa; Mollusca; Gastropoda; Nudibranchia; Aeolidiidae. The record is from RNAcentral.
CGCCUGUUUACCAAAAACAUAGCCACUAGAUGAUAUUACGUGGUUUUACCUGCCCARUGUAAUUAUGAAUGGCCGCGGUACUCUGACCGUGCUAAGGUAGCGUAAUCAGUUGAUCUUUAAAUGAGGUCAGGAAUGAAUGGAUAAACCGGGUUUAGCUGUCUCUUUUCUAUUACAUUGAAUUUACUACCUAAGUGAAAAAGCUUAGUUUCUAAAAAGGGACGAGAAGACCCUUAGAAUUUUCAUAAAAAGGCUAAUUAGUUGGUCUUACAUUUUUAUUGGGGCGAUAUAGAAAUAGUUAAAACUUUCUUUUUAAAACAAGCCGAUAUUUAUAAGUCAGGAUAAAUUACCUGAGGGAUAACAGCAUAAUUCUAUAGUUGAGUUUGUGACCUCGAUGUUGGACUAGGAAACUGGCAGGCUAGCCGUUUGUUAUGUUAGGUUCUGUUCAAACUUUUAUUCCU